GUUUCCUGCAAGGUAUUCCUACUGUAACCUUCGACCUUCCGGUGGGGUUACUGCUCUCAAAAUCAAAAAUAUUUAAACUAAAACAUGAAAAGUAUUCCUCUCGUUAUACAGGUGGGCGCCUAUUUAAACUAAGACUGAAAAGUAUUCCUCUCGUUAUACAGGUGGGCGCCUAUUUAAACUAAGACUGAAAAUAUUCCUCUCGUUAUACAGGUGGGCGCCUAUUUAAACUAAGACUGAAAAUAUUCAUCUCGUUAUACAGGUGGGCACCUAUUUAAACUAAGACAUGAAAAGUAUUCCUCUCGUUAUACAGGUGGGUGCCUAUUUAAACUAAGACUGAAAAGUAUUCCUCUCGAUAUACAGGUGGGCGCCUAUUUAAACUAAGACUAAAAAUUAUUCCUCUCGUUAUACAGGUGGGCGCCUAUUUAAACUAAGACUGAAAAUUAUUCCUCUUAUUAUACAGGUGGCCGCCUAUUUAAACUAAGACUGAAAAGUAUUCCUCUCGUUAUACA
Molecule: long non-coding RNA, 509 nt
Filed under: Nicotiana tabacum (common tobacco)
Lineage: Eukaryota; Viridiplantae; Streptophyta; Magnoliopsida; Solanales; Solanaceae
Description: long non-coding RNA (NTAB_LNC008187)
Source: RNAcentral